UACGGAAGGCAGCAGUGGGGAAUAUUGCACAAUGGGCGAAAGCCUGAUGCAGCUAUGCCGCGUGUAUGAAGAAGGCCUUAGGGUUGUAAAGUACUUUCAUCGGGGAGGAAAAACAAAACUAAUAAUUUUAUUUCUUGACGUUACCCGAAAAAGAAGCACCGGCUAACUCCGUGCCAGCAGCCGCGGUAAUACGGAGGGUGCUAGCGUUAAUCAGAAUUACUGGGCGUAAAGAGCACGUAGGUGGUUUUUUUAAGUCAGAUGUGAAAUCCCUGGGCUUAACCUGGAACUGCAUUUUGAAACUGAAAUACUAGAGUAUCGUAGAGGGAGGUAGAAUUCUAGGUGUAGCGGUGAAAUGCGUAGAUAUCUGGAGGAAUACCUGUGGCGAAAGCGGCCUCUAAACGAAUACUGACACUGAGGUGCGAAAGCGUGGGGAGCAAACAGGGAUUAGAUACCCGU
This 456-nucleotide ribosomal RNA is filed under the name uncultured bacterium. RNAcentral describes it as "bacterial SSU rRNA". It matches the Rfam family "Bacterial small subunit ribosomal RNA", at positions 340 to 789 of the family's 1533-position model. The record is from RNAcentral.